Molecule: long non-coding RNA, 238 nt
Filed under: Lathyrus oleraceus (garden pea)
Lineage: Eukaryota; Viridiplantae; Streptophyta; Magnoliopsida; Fabales; Fabaceae
Description: Pisum sativum (pea) long non-coding RNA (PSAT_LNC003027)
Source: RNAcentral
UUUCUUUGUUUUUGUUGAGGAUUUUAAUUACCUCUCUUGAUUGAUUUUUUUAUCCCUAAUUUUUACCGAGACCGCUUAUUUGAAGCUUUCGAUCCAUCGGGAUGCUCUAAUUUUUUCCUAAGUUUCCCUUUCUGGUAUUCGACUUAGCGGGCUUGGUGUUUUUUUACUCUUUUUUUAAUAAUUUUGUUAAAUAUUGUGAUUGCCUUAUUAAUGGUUGGUGAGGAACAAUCAUUAUAAA